RNAcentral lists this ribosomal RNA (484 nucleotides) under uncultured bacterium. Its description in RNAcentral is "partial 16S ribosomal RNA". It matches the Rfam family "Bacterial small subunit ribosomal RNA", at positions 30 to 507 of the family's 1533-position model. The record is from RNAcentral.
CGAACGCUGGCGGCGUGCUUAACACAUGCAAGUCGAACGCUGAAGACCUGGCUUUUGUUGGGUUGGAUGAGUGGCGAACGGGUGAGUAACACGUGAGUAACCUGCCCUCUUCUUUGGGAUAACGCCCGGAAACGGGUGCUAAUACUGGAUAUUCACUGAUCUUCGCAUGGGGGUUGGUGGAAAGGUUUGUUCUGGUGGGGGAUGGGCUCGCGGCCUAUCAGCUUGUUGGUGGGGUGAUGGCCUACCAAGGCUUUGACGGGUAGCCGGCCUGAGAGGGUGACCGGUCACAUUGGGACUGGGAUACGGCCCAGACUCCUACGGGAGGCAGCAGUGGGGAAUAUUGCACAAUGGGCGAAAGCCUGAUGCAGCGACGCCGCGUGAGGGAUGGAGGCCUUCGGGUUGUAAACCUCUUUCGCGCAUGGUCAAGCCGCAACUGUGGGUUGUGGUGAGGGUAGUGGGUAAAGAAGCGCCGGCUAACUACGUG